UACGUAGGGUGCAAGCGUUGUUCGGAAUCACUGGGCGUAAAGGGCGUGUAGGCGGAACGAUUAGCGAGGGGUGAAAUCCCGGGGCUCAACCCCGGAACUGCUCUUCGAACUGUCAAACUAGAGUGUGGUAGAGGGAGGUAGAAUUUCCUGUGUAGCGGUGAAAUGCGUAGAUAUAGGAAGGAAUACCGAUGGCGAAGGCAGCCUCCUGGACAGAUACUGACACUCAGAUGCGAAAGCGUGGGGAGCAAACAGG
Molecule: ribosomal RNA, 253 nt
Filed under: uncultured bacterium
Lineage: Bacteria
Description: partial 16S ribosomal RNA
Rfam family: Bacterial small subunit ribosomal RNA
Source: RNAcentral